RNAcentral lists this ribosomal RNA (310 nucleotides) under uncultured Glomus. Its description in RNAcentral is "SSU rRNA". It matches the Rfam family "Eukaryotic small subunit ribosomal RNA", at positions 569 to 886 of the family's 1831-position model. The record is from RNAcentral. Lineage: Eukaryota; Fungi; Glomeromycota; Glomeromycetes; Glomerales; Glomeraceae.
AGCAGCCGCGGUAAUUCCAGCUCCAAUAGCGUAUAUUAAAGUUGUUGCAGUUAAAAAGCUCGUAGUUGAAUUUUCGGGAUUAGUACGUCGGUCGUGCCUUGGUACGUACUGGUGUAACUGAUUCCUCCCUUCUGACGAACCGUCAUGCCAUUAAUUUGGUGUGGCGGGAAAUCAGGACUGUUACUUUGAAAAAUUGAGUGUUUAAAGCAGGCUCGCGCUUAGAAUACAUUAGCAUGGAAUAAUGAAAUAGGACGUUAAUCCUAUUUUGUUGGUUUCUAGGAUCGACGUAUGAUUAAUAGGAUAGGUGGGG